This 539-nucleotide ribosomal RNA is filed under the name uncultured bacterium. Its description in RNAcentral is "bacterial SSU rRNA". It matches the Rfam family "Bacterial small subunit ribosomal RNA", at positions 356 to 896 of the family's 1533-position model. The record is from RNAcentral.
GAGGAAUAUUGGUCAAUGGGCGCGAGCCUGAACCAGCCAAGUAGCGUGCAGGAUGACGGCCCUAUGGGUUGUAAACUGCUUUUGUAUGGGGAUAAAGUCAAUCACGUGUGAUUGUUUGCAGGUACCAUACGAAUAAGGACCGGCUAAUUCCGUGCCAGCAGCCGCGGUAAUACGGAAGGUUCGGGCGUUAUCCGGAUUUAUUGGGUUUAAAGGGAGCGUAGGCCGGAGAUUAAGUGUGUUGUGAAAUGUAGACGCUCAACGUCUGACUUGCAGCGCAUACUGGUUUCCUUGAGUACGCACAACGUUGGCGGAAUUCGUCGUGUAGCGGUGAAAUGCUUAGAUAUGACGAAGAACUCCGAUUGCGAAGGCAACUGACGGGAGCGCAACUGACGCUGAAGCUCGAAGGUGCGGGUAUCGAACAGGAUUAGAUACCCUGGUAGUCCGCACAGUAAACGAUGGAUGCCCGCUGUUGGUACCUGGUAUCAGCGGCUAAGCGAAAGCAUUAAGCAUCCCACCCGGGGAGUACGCCGGCAACGGUG